RNAcentral lists this ribosomal RNA (318 nucleotides) under uncultured bacterium. RNAcentral's name for it is "bacterial SSU rRNA". It matches the Rfam family "Bacterial small subunit ribosomal RNA", at positions 28 to 334 of the family's 1533-position model. The record is from RNAcentral.
GAUGAACGCUAGCGGCAGGCUUAACACAUGCAAGUCGAGGGGCAGCAUGAGACGGAGAUUCGUCGAAGUCUUGAUGGCGACCGGCGCAAGGGUGCGUAACGCGUGAGCAACUUGCCCGUUUCUGGGGAAUAACCGGUGGAAACGCCGACUAAUACCCCAUAGUAUGCUUUUAAGGCAUCUUUUAAGCAUUAAAGAAUUUCGGAAACGGAUAGGCUCGCGUGACAUUAGCUAGAUGGCGGGGUAACGGCCCACCAUGGCGACGAUGUCUAGGGGUUCUGAGAGGAAGGUCCCCCACACUGGAACUGAGACACGGUCCAG